CUUCUAAUGUAUUUGUAUAUUUACAGCAUGAAGAUCAUACACUACAUAUUCUACAUCACAUUAUGCCAUGAGUGUAUUACUGGACAUUUUUUUCAAAGAUUAGAUGGGAACAAAACAUUCCUUCAUGUAUCAUUCACAGAAGCGGUGGCUGUUCCACAAAUAUUUGUUGAGUGCCUGCAAUGCUCCAGGUGUGUGUGGCUGUUCAAGGCUCCUCUGAGUUGGCAGCUGCCAGUGGAACAAAUGGGAAAAUCAGUGCUUGCAGUGUAAGAGGGAUUUCUGUACUUUUCAGAGGCCCCUCCUGAUUUCCAGGUUCACAGCUGGGCCAGGUAACUGAGUUUGCCUCCUAGAAGGAGGAGCACUUCUGUAUUUCAGAUGGCGAUAUGGGUCUGGGUGCUGGACAGAAGCUAAAUAUUUCCACAAAUCAUAGGCUUCUGGUGGGGUCACAGAACUGAGAAAUCAGAUGACCUUCCAGACACACUCUCCGACCCUUCUCCUCCCUGGACUCCAACUUGCCAGUCUGAUAACGUGUGCCUGCUUCCCCACAGAUAUGGACCAAAUUCCACAAAUUCCAUGUAUUGCCCUAGGAAAAUAUUCCCCCUGGAAAAAGAGAUCCUGUGGUUUCACAGGGGCCUUUGCUUGGCUCCUUCCCAGGUCCAUAGUCCAGAGCCAAUGGAAC
RNAcentral lists this long non-coding RNA (676 nucleotides) under Heterocephalus glaber (naked mole-rat). Its description in RNAcentral is "lncRNA (ENSHGLG00000036261.1)". The record is from RNAcentral. Lineage: Eukaryota; Metazoa; Chordata; Mammalia; Rodentia; Bathyergidae.